This 254-nucleotide ribosomal RNA is filed under the name uncultured bacterium. RNAcentral's name for it is "partial 16S ribosomal RNA". It matches the Rfam family "Bacterial small subunit ribosomal RNA", at positions 333 to 579 of the family's 1533-position model. The record is from RNAcentral.
GAAGCCCUACGGGGCGCAGCAGUAGGGAAUCUUCCGCAAUGGGCGAAAGCCUGACGGAGCAACGCCGCGUGAGUGAAGAAGGAUUUCGGUUCGUAAAGCUCUGUUGUUAGGGAAGAAUGAUUGUGUAGUAACUGUACACAGUAGAGACGGUACCUAACCAGAAAGCCACGGCUAACUACGUGCCAGCAGCCGCGGUAAUACGUAGGUCCCAAGCGUUGUCCGGAUUUAUUGGGCGUAACGCGAGCGCAGGCGGU